This 773-nucleotide ribosomal RNA is filed under the name uncultured Streptococcus sp. RNAcentral describes it as "bacterial SSU rRNA". It matches the Rfam family "Bacterial small subunit ribosomal RNA", at positions 28 to 776 of the family's 1533-position model. Lineage: Bacteria; Bacillati; Bacillota; Bacilli; Lactobacillales; Streptococcaceae. The record is from RNAcentral.
GACGAACGCUGGCGGCGUGCCUAAUACAUGCAAGUAGAACGCACAGUUUAUACCGUAGCUUGCUACACCAUAGACUGUGAGUUGCGAACGGGUGAGUAACGCGUAGGUAACCUGCCUGGUAGCGGGGGAUAACUAUUGGAAACGAUAGCUAAUACCGCAUAAUAUUAAUUAUUGCAUGAUAAUUGAUUGAAAGAUGCAACUGCAUCACUACCAGAUGGACCUGCGUUGUAUUAGCUAGUAGGUGAGGUAACGGCUCACCUAGGCGACGAUACAUAGCCGACCUGAGAGGGUGAUCGGCCACACUGGGACUGAGACACGGCCCAGACUCCUACGGGAGGCAGCAGUAGGGAAUCUUCGGCAAUGGACGAAAGUCUGACCGAGCAACGCCGCGUGAGUGAAGAAGGUUUUCGGAUCGUAAAGCUCUGUUGUAAGAGAAGAACGGGUGUGAGAGUGGAAAGUUCACACUGUGACGGUAUCUUACCAGAAAGGGACGGCUAACUACGUGCCAGCAGCCGCGGUAAUACGUAGGUCCCGAGCGUUGUCCGGAUUUAUUGGGCGUAAAGCGAGCGCAGGCGGUUAGAUAAGUCUGAAGUUAAAGGCUGUGGCUUAACCAUAGUACGCUUUGGAAACUGUUUAACUUGAGUGCAGAAGGGGAGAGUGGAAUUCCAUGUGUAGCGGUGAAAUGCGUAGAUAUAUGGAGGAACACCGGUGGCGAAAGCGGCUCUCUGGUCUGUAACUGACGCUGAGGCUCGAAAGCGUGGGGAGCGGACAGG